GUCAGUGUUGGUGAAUGGAAAAUUACUGAGGAGACAGCUUCUGGCUCAACCCAUCUGACAGGAUUCUUGAGGAAGGGUACUCAGACCUGACCCCUGGGGGAUGGUGGAGAUGGAGACUGAUCAGAUAGGAGGGUGGACAGAGACUGGGGACAAGGAAUUCUAACUAAACUGACUUCACAGAGGUCUUUGCCAAACUGGAUUCUCAAGGAAGUUCUCAGAUGGACCUGACAGGCAAUCGGAAGCCUGGCCAGUUUGCCCAAGCAAAGAGUCUUUGUCUACCUUUUGGGGUGGGGGGUGGAGGGGAUGGGGGUGGCUGGAGGUUAACUACAAGACAGGAGUAGAGAAUCCACAGGGCCUGCUGCGCUUGGGAGAUCUGAAAAGGCUGCGGGAGCACUGUAGAAGGUGCUGAGCAGGAAGCCCUGGGGAUAGAUACAGUGGGAGAUCCUGCAGUCGAUAGCGCAGAGAAUACCAGAAAGUUCCUAGUUAGGCUGAGCAGAAACGCAGAGGGGAGUGGGGCAGGCAACAGACAGCGUCAGGGUGGGAAAGGAGGGAGAGACUGAGAUAGAGCGAUUGGUGACCAAAGGCAUUGGAUGACAGGUUUAGAGAUGGAGAGCUAGAAAAUGCGCAUGUCUCAGGGAGCUUGAGAUCCAGUUUCUGGAGUUCACAGUUUAUUUCUAUCUGUAUUAUGUCUCUUCUGGCCUGGAAAAGAAGAAGAGGAACAAAGCCUUGGGGGCGUGGGGAGGGGGACAACGGGACAGCAUGGUACAUUGCCUGCAGGGCCCUGCCUCGGUUAAUUGUUCCCUGAAACUGUGGCGCCCUCUCCUGGUAUAUGGUAUUUACAUACAUGGGCAUCCUGCCCCAGCGUUCAUUUUCUCAGCCAUCACCCAAAGGCAAACGUAGCUGAACGGUUGGAAGCACUUUGUGAGCGCUGGGAGUCCCCUGCAAAGCAAAUGUCAGGACUGGAGCCCACACCAACGGUCUCCCUCUCUUGAACCCGGAAACCAGCCGGAACGUUCUCCUGUGUUGCUGCAGCGUGCAGGGGUGAGAGAGGAUGCGGAUCGGAAACGGAGGCUUGAGGGUAUCCGGCAUCUAGAGGGGAGCGUGGACAUGCCAAGCCCCGCAAACUCUUUGUGAACAGGAAACCCCUAGAAGCGCCCUAACAGCCAGAUUCUGCCCUGCUUUUCUGACACACUCCCUGAUGCCACCAUGGGUGCCAGCUUCUAACUGCUUGGAGAAGCAGGGAAGGCGCACAGAACAGGAACUGCUACCUGGAACGCUAAAGCAGAAGGUUUCUAAAUCUGGCCUGCAUAUAUGUUGAGACCCCCCGUGUCAAAAUGAAAAUAGGAACGGGUGCCAGUGCUGGGCAUACAACUCUGACAAAGUGCUUAUCCAGAACGAAUAGAGCUGAGGAUCAAUCUCCAGUACUGAAAAGAAGGC
This 1437-nucleotide long non-coding RNA is filed under the name Cricetulus griseus (Chinese hamster). RNAcentral describes it as "lncRNA (ENSCGRG00015042434.1)". Lineage: Eukaryota; Metazoa; Chordata; Mammalia; Rodentia; Cricetidae. The record is from RNAcentral.